GAGGGUAGAGCUCAGUGGUAGAGCGCAUGCUUAGCAUGCACGAGGUCCUGAGUUCAGUCCCCAGUACCUCCU
This 72-nucleotide transfer RNA is filed under the name Camelus bactrianus (Bactrian camel). It matches the Rfam family "tRNA". Rfam says of the family: Transfer RNA (tRNA) molecules are approximately 80 nucleotides in length. RNAcentral also lists the same sequence under 2 other names. Lineage: Eukaryota; Metazoa; Chordata; Mammalia; Artiodactyla; Camelidae. The record is from Rfam by way of RNAcentral.